CAGAAAAUAAUUUAAUUUAAAAUCUUAAUUUUGGAAAUUAAAAAUAAAAUAAGCCUUUUUAUUCUGA
Molecule: transfer RNA, 67 nt
Filed under: Pseudolycoriella hygida
Lineage: Eukaryota; Metazoa; Arthropoda; Insecta; Diptera; Sciaridae
Description: Bradysia hygida tRNA-Pro
Source: RNAcentral